This 855-nucleotide long non-coding RNA is filed under the name Bos mutus (wild yak). RNAcentral's name for it is "lncRNA (ENSBMUG00000014606.1)". The record is from RNAcentral. Lineage: Eukaryota; Metazoa; Chordata; Mammalia; Artiodactyla; Bovidae.
CUUUCUAUGCUCCUUUCUAUGUGUUCUUCUGUCUCUGGUUUUACUGCUCCUAUAACUUCACAGAUGGCUGUCUCCUGUCUGACUACCUUCUCCCUGUGCCCCAACAGGAGAGCAGGACUCUGACUCAGCUUGGAAGGAGCUGUAGGUGAGUGACUUUUCUUAACUAACAGUCAGCAGAGCCCAGGGGACAGGGAAACGCAGAGGCUUAAGUCCCUGGUGGCACUGGUGGCCGUCCCAGGGGAACCCACCAGAGGGCUCCUCCUCGCUGCUCCCUGCAGCCACUGCUCACUGGUGAUCUAGCCCACAGUCUGUUUUCUCUUCCCCAAGGGUGAAGCCACACCUUCUUUCAGCCUGACUUGGACGGGUGAGCUGAAGGGACAUCUCCGAGACCCUGCUGCUGCCAUCAUGAGCUCGAUAGACCUCUUUUACUGCUCAGAGAGUGAAACUGUUUUUCAAGUUGUUGUUGAACGUUCCCAGGUCACAGAAAAGAAACUGACGGUCUUACUCCGAAACUGGAAGAUGUUUGUGGUUAAGGCCGAUAUACCCAGGUAACAUGCAUGGGUUUACCAAGAAUGUGACUCAGAUCCCUCUGCCCCAGGCUAGGUUCCUCCUGGCAGGUACACCUCCUCCAGGCAGCAUCCUGUAGUUGGAGUCAAGGAUGUUCCUUCUCAAGAUCCCAAUAGCAGUGUUUCCUUUAUGGCAUUUGGUGGCAGUGAAUGGCCUUGUGUGGUGAAGAUAUGAAACCUGCUACAGGGGCAGGUUAUGUGACCUUGGUCAUGUGACUGAACUACUCUCUGCCUUAGUUUCUUCAUCUGUUCAGUUUUAUUGUGCAGACACUGAGAUCAUGCAUGCAAA